Molecule: ribosomal RNA, 737 nt
Filed under: Bacillus subtilis
Lineage: Bacteria; Bacillati; Bacillota; Bacilli; Caryophanales; Bacillaceae
Description: bacterial SSU rRNA
Rfam family: Bacterial small subunit ribosomal RNA
Source: RNAcentral
GCAGGCGGUUUUUUAAGUUCUGAGGUGAAAGCCCCCGGCUUAACCGGGGAGGGUCAUUUGGAAACUGGGGAACUUUGAGUGCAGAAGAGGAGAGUGGAAUUUCCACGUGUAGCGGUGAAAUUGCGUAGAGAUGUGGAGGAACACCAGUGGCGAAGGCGACUCUCUGGUCUGUAACUGACGCUGAGGAGCGAAAGCGUGGGGAGCGAACAGGAUUAGAUACCCUGGUAGUCCACGCCGUAAACGAUGAGUGCUAAGUGUUAGGGGGUUUCCGCCCCUUAGUGCUGCAGCUAACGCAUUAAGCACUCCGCCUGGGGAGUACGGUCGCAAGACUGAAACUCAAAGGAAUUGACGGGGGCCCGCACAAGCGGUGGAGCAUGUGGUUUAAUUCGAAGCAACGCGAAGAACCUUACCAGGUCUUGACAUCCUCUGACAAUCCUAGAGAUAGGACGUCCCCUUCGGGGGCAGAGUGACAGGUGGUGCAUGGUUGUCGUCAGCUCGUGUCGUGAGAUGUUGGGUUAAGUCCCGCAACGAGCGCAACCCUUGAUCUUAGUUGCCAGCAUUCAGUUGGGCACUCUAAGGUGACUGCCGGUGACAAACCGGAGGAAGGUGGGGAUGACGUCAAAUCAUCAUGCCCCUUAUGACCUGGGCUACACACGUGCUACAAUGGACAGAACAAAGGGCAGCGAAACCGCGAGGUUAAGCCAAUCCCACAAAUCUGUUCUCAGUUCGGAUCGCAG